RNAcentral lists this long non-coding RNA (240 nucleotides) under Phaseolus vulgaris (common bean). RNAcentral describes it as "long non-coding RNA (PVUL_LNC001866)". The record is from RNAcentral. Lineage: Eukaryota; Viridiplantae; Streptophyta; Magnoliopsida; Fabales; Fabaceae.
UCUGCUUCUUUGAUUUGGGAUGAUGGAAACCACCAAGUUAGAAGCCCAAUUGUAGUGUAUCAAUUCUAAGUGCGUCAAAUAAGAUGAAAUAAUUUGAAAUAAAAGUUGAAUGAUGUUUGUAACUUUAGGAAGAAAUGAAUGCAAAUAAGCUCACUAACAUGAGCUCUUUUUUUUUUUUUAUGUUGUCAAUAACAUUGUACUGUCCCGGAAAAUAUCGAGAGACUGCCAUUCUCACACAAA